Molecule: ribosomal RNA, 305 nt
Filed under: uncultured bacterium
Lineage: Bacteria
Description: bacterial SSU rRNA
Rfam family: Bacterial small subunit ribosomal RNA
Source: RNAcentral
GGGUGCCUACGGGAGGCAGCAGUUAGGAAUAUUCGGCAAUGGGGGAAACCCUGACCGAGCAAUGCCGCGUGUGAGAUGACGGCCCUAUGGGUUGUAAAUCACUUUUAUUUGGGAAGAACUGUAAGUAGAGGAAAUGAUACUUACUUGACGGUACCUUUUGAAUAAGCCCCGGCUAACUACGUGCCAGCAGCCGCGGUAAUACGUAGGUGGCGAGCGUUAUCCGGAUUUAUUGGGCGUAAAGCGUCCGCAGCCGGUUUAUUAAGUAUAGAAUAAAACUUCGGGGCUCAACCCCGUCUCGUUCUAUA